AAUUGAAAAAUGCCUCAUAUAUACUUGAGAAUAAGGCUCAGGAAGUUUCUACCCGGCACCGUAAAUGACCGGACUAUGAGGGAGGAU
This 87-nucleotide non-coding RNA is filed under the name Oceanobacillus jeddahensis. Its description in RNAcentral is "Purine riboswitch". It matches the Rfam family "Purine riboswitch aptamer", at positions 7 to 93 of the family's 102-position model. Rfam says of the family: Riboswitches are metabolite binding domains within certain messenger RNAs that serve as precision sensors for their corresponding targets. Allosteric rearrangement of mRNA structure is mediated by ligand binding, and this results in modulation of gene expression. A class of riboswitches that selectively recognises guanine and becomes saturated at concentrations as low as 5 nM. The record is from RNAcentral. Lineage: Bacteria; Bacillati; Bacillota; Bacilli; Caryophanales; Bacillaceae.